Molecule: ribosomal RNA, 303 nt
Filed under: uncultured bacterium
Lineage: Bacteria
Description: bacterial SSU rRNA
Rfam family: Bacterial small subunit ribosomal RNA
Source: RNAcentral
UGGGGAAUAUUGGGCAAUGGGCGCAAGCCUGACCCAGCAACGCCGCGUGAAGGAAGAAGGCUUUCGGGUUGUAAACUUCUUUUAAGAGGGAAGAGUAGAAGACGGUACCUCUUGAAUAAGCCACGGCUAACUACGUGCCAGCAGCCGCGGUAAUACGUAGGUGGCAAGCGUUGUCCGGAUUUACUGGGUGUAAAGGGCGUGUAGCCGGGUUGACAAGUCAGAUGUGAAAUCCUGCGGCUUAACCGCAGAACUGCAUUUGAAACUGUUGAUCUUGAGUACUGGAGAGGCAGACGGAAUUCCUAG